AAGUUGGGCAAAACUCUGAUAGAGCAUUUUGAAUUUUUUUUCCUAGGUGCUUCUCAAAAUGGGAAGAGCUGCCAUUUAUGGCCUAUGAAAUGUUCUGAGAACAAAACAGAUACUAUUGGGAGAAGAAAGGAGGUACAGAUAUAAAAACUCGUGGAAUGAGGAGAUAGCUCAGUGGUAUCAUGGUCCAGCCUCAUAGAAAGCUACUUUAAGUUUAUGGGAUCUCCAUGUGGUGAGCUUGGAAGAUGUACAUAUCUUUUGAAUAUAUGGCAGUGUUGUCACAGAGAACUAUAAUUCAUCUCUUCCCAUGUUUAUGAACUGGUCCUUUAUUUGCAUCAUGACUUACUCUUGUGAUUUGAGAGUCAUUAUUAAGAUGUGAUGUAAGAAGAUUUCUCUGCUUGUGGGAGAGCCAUCAAUGGAGGCAUCGCCUCAGAAGCUGCCCUGAUGGGGGUUGCUGUUUUAGAGGGUUUUACUCCUUCCCACUUUCCUCAAGAUGUUGCCUUCCAAACACCCAUGCCUAUGGCAUUAGAUAUUUCAGCCACAUUCUAAAUAAAAGCAGGAGUUUUCCUGUGUCGCAUGGCACAGAGCUCUUUGUUCUUGGUCUUAUAUGGUGGGAUAGGUUUAAGAGCCAUGAAUAUUGAGGGGAAGGAGUUCUACACUUGAUGUAUGAGACACUUGUCAUU
This is a long non-coding RNA of Mus musculus (house mouse), 680 nucleotides long. RefSeq annotates it as predicted gene, 38801. The record is from RefSeq and is a predicted model, not a curated record. The transcript is spliced from 3 exons. Lineage: Eukaryota; Metazoa; Chordata; Mammalia; Rodentia; Muridae.